UCUCUCAUCAACCACGUUCCCUCAAUUCUUCUCUCCACAAAAAACCCUAGCCGCCCCAAAUUGAUGUCGAGAAGAAACUUCCGCCAUCGUCUCUCGCCGUAAAAACGUGGUAGAAUCAUCGGUCAUCUCGCCGCAAAAAUCAACGUCGGUCGCCAAUUCACAGGCCUAAAGGACCGAUUUUUAGUUUCACGCGCGCGAUUGAGUUUCUGAAGUUCCGAUAUUGGUUUCUGAAGAUUCGAUUUUGGGUAAUAAACACUUAACAUCAAUGAUGAAGAGAGGCAAACCCUUCAAGAGUCAACCAACACAGACUGAAGCAAGUAAGCAGCGUCGCGUUGAUUUUGAUGAAGCAGUAGAUGAUGUAAUUCUAAUUGUAUUAGCCCAGAAGCUUCGGCAUAGAUUAUCGGAGGACAAAGCAGAGACCAGUACAUCCCGUAAAGAGUGGAUAGGAUGUAUGGGGUGGAGAAGUAUGGGGAGUGAUCGUAUGGAUACUUUAUGGAUAGCUUAAUGUUGGAAGUGAUAAUAUCAGACUUGUUGGUUAGCUAGUUGUGAACAAUUUCAAGUUUUAUGAACUUGUGCAAAUUAAGCUUCAA
Salvia hispanica is the source of this 590-nucleotide non-coding RNA. Lineage: Eukaryota; Viridiplantae; Streptophyta; Magnoliopsida; Lamiales; Lamiaceae. The record is from RefSeq and is a predicted model, not a curated record.